AAACGAUGCCAACCAGUAAUUAAGCUGUGUUCCUUAAAUGACACGCUUAGGGACUUCCGGGAAACCAAAGUCUUUCGGUUCCAGGGGAAGUAUGGUUGCAAAGCUGAAACUUAAAGAAAUUGACGGAAGGGCACCACCAGGAGUGGAGCCUGCGGCUUAAUUUGACUCAACACGGGAAAACUCACCCGGCCCGGACACUGGAAGGAUUGACAGAUUGAGAGCUCUUUCUUGAUUCAGUGGGUGGUGGUGCAUGGCCGUUCUUAGUUGGUGGAGUGAUUUGUCUGGUUAAUUCCGAUAACGAACGAGACUCUAGCCUACUAAAUAGAUCGUCGGCUUACAAACGCCGGCGAGACUUCUUAGAGGGACAGGCGGUGAUUCAACCGCACGAAACAGAGCAAUAACAGGUCUGUGAUGCCCUUAGAUGUCCGGGGCCGCACGCGCGCUACACUGAAGUGAUCAGCGUGCUUUUUCAACCUACUCUGUCAAGAGUGGGGAACCCAAUGAACCUUCUUCGUGAUUGGGAUAGGGGAUUGUAAUUAUUCCCCUUGAACGAGGAAUUCCCAGUAAGCGCGAGUCAUAAGCUCGCGUUGAUUACGUCCCUGCCCUUUGUACACACCGCCCGUCGCUACUACCGAUUGAAUGUUUUAGUGAGGUCUUCGGACUGGCCGGCGCAGCUCUCUCGUAGUGCAGCGCUGUGUUUGGAAAGAUGCCCAAACUUGAACAUUUAGAGGAAGUAAAAGUCGUAACAAGGUUUCCGUAGUGAACCUGCGGAAGGAUC
Molecule: ribosomal RNA, 778 nt
Filed under: uncultured eukaryote
Lineage: Eukaryota
Description: SSU rRNA
Rfam family: Eukaryotic small subunit ribosomal RNA
Source: RNAcentral